RNAcentral lists this ribosomal RNA (157 nucleotides) under Leccinum rigidipes. RNAcentral's name for it is "5.8S ribosomal RNA". It matches the Rfam family "5.8S ribosomal RNA". Rfam says of the family: 5.8S ribosomal RNA (5.8S rRNA) is a component of the large subunit of the eukaryotic ribosome. It is transcribed by RNA polymerase I as part of the 45S precursor that also contains 18S and 28S rRNA. Lineage: Eukaryota; Fungi; Basidiomycota; Agaricomycetes; Boletales; Boletaceae. The record is from RNAcentral.
CAACUUCAGCAAUGGUCUCGAGUUCUCGCACAGAUGAUCGACCCGCACGGAAUCGCGAUAAGUAAUGUGAAUUGCAGAUUUUCAGUGAAUCAUCGAAUCUUUGAACGCACCUUGCGCCCCUUGGUAUUCCGAGGGGCAUGCCUGUUUGAGUGUCAUU